CAGCAGCCGCGGUAAUACGUAGGAUUCAAACGUUAUCCGGAUUUAUUGGGCGUAAAGCGCGUGCAGGCGGUUUGGUAAGUUGGAUGUGAAAUCUCCGGGCUCAACCCGGAGAGGUCGUUCAAAACUACCAGACUAGAGGGCGAUAGAGGGAGGUGGAAUUCUGGGUGUAGUGGUGAAGUGCGUAGAUAUCCAGAGGAACACCAGUGGCGAAGGCGGCCUCCUGGGUCGCUCCUGACGCUAAGACGCGAAAGCUAGGGUAGCAAACGGGAUUAGAAACCCCGGUAGUCCUAGCUGUAAACGAUGUAGACUUGGUGUCGGUGGUGUAAAAGCCAUCGGUGCCGUAGCUAACGCGAUAAGUCUACCGCCUGGGGAUUACGGUCGCAAGACUAAAACUCAAAGGAAUUGACGGGACCCCGCACAAGCAGCGGAGCGUGUGGUUUAAUUCGAUGUUACGCGAAGAACCUUACCUGGGUUUGACAUAUUGGUGGUAGGAAUCCGAAAGGUGACCGACCCUUCGGGGAGCCAUUACAGGUGAUGCAUGGCUGUCGUCAGCUCGUGCCGUGAGGUGUCCGGUUAAUUCCGGUAACGAACGCCACCCUUGCUGUAUGUUACAAGUGUCAUACGGGACUGCCGGUAUAAAGCCGGAGGAAGGUGGGGACGACGUCAAGUCAGCAUGGCCUUUAUAUCCAGGGCUACACACACGCUACAAUGGUCGGUACAAUAGGUUGCAAAGUCGCAAGGCGGAGCCAAUCCAUAAAACCG
Molecule: ribosomal RNA, 762 nt
Filed under: uncultured Chloroflexota bacterium
Lineage: Bacteria; Bacillati; Chloroflexota
Description: bacterial SSU rRNA
Rfam family: Bacterial small subunit ribosomal RNA
Source: RNAcentral